This 418-nucleotide ribosomal RNA is filed under the name Pseudomonas sp. HPC158. RNAcentral describes it as "bacterial SSU rRNA". It matches the Rfam family "Bacterial small subunit ribosomal RNA", at positions 1065 to 1482 of the family's 1533-position model. The record is from RNAcentral. Lineage: Bacteria; Pseudomonadati; Pseudomonadota; Gammaproteobacteria; Pseudomonadales; Pseudomonadaceae.
UCGUGAGAUGUUGGGUUAAGUCCCGUAACGAGCGCAACCCUUGUCCUUAGUUACCAGCCCGUUAUGGUGGGCACUUUAAGGAGACUGCCGGUGACAAACCGGAGGAAGGUGGGGAUGACGUCAAGUCAUCAUGGCCCUUACGGCCAGGGCUACACACGUGCUACAAUGGUCGGUACAGAGGGUUGCCAAGCCGCGAGGUGGAGCUAAUCCCAGAAAACCGAUCGUAGUCCGGAUCGCAGUCUGCAACUCGACUGCGUGAAGUCGGAAUCGCUAGUAAUCGUGAAUCAGAAUGUCACGGUGAAUACGUUCCCGGGCCUUGUACACACCGCCCGUCACACCAUGGGAGUGGGUUGCUCCAGAAGUAGCUAGUCUAACCGCAAGGGGGACGGUUACCACGGAGUGGUUGAUGACUGGGGUG